UAACGCGAAGAACCUUACCUGGGUUUGACAUACGCCGGAAAGCCUCAGAGAUGAGGCCCCUUUAUUGUCGGUGUACAGGUGGUGCAUGGCUGUCGUCAGCUCGUGUGGUGAGAUGUUGGGUUAAGUCCCGCAACGAGCGCAACCCUUGUCUCAUGUUGCCAGCGGGUUAUGCCGGGGACUCAUGAGAGACUGCCGGGGUCAACUCGGAGGAAGGUGGGGACGACGUCAAGUCAUCAUGCCCCUUAUGUCCAGGGCUUCACACAUGCUACAAUGGCCGGUACAGAGGGCUGCUAAGCCGCGAGGUGGAGCGAAUCCCACAAAGCCGGUCUCAGUUCGGAUUGGGGUCUGCAACUCGACCCCAUGAAGUCGGAGUCGCUAGUAAUCGCAGAUCAGCAUUGCUGCGGUGAAUACGUUCCCGGGUCUUGUACACACCGA
This 435-nucleotide ribosomal RNA is filed under the name uncultured bacterium. RNAcentral describes it as "bacterial SSU rRNA". It matches the Rfam family "Bacterial small subunit ribosomal RNA", at positions 957 to 1393 of the family's 1533-position model. The record is from RNAcentral.